This is a long non-coding RNA of Colias croceus (clouded yellow), 5999 nucleotides long. RefSeq lists it as uncharacterized. NCBI's taxonomy places the organism in Eukaryota, Metazoa, Arthropoda, Insecta, Lepidoptera, Pieridae. The transcript has 2 exons. The record is from RefSeq and is a predicted model, not a curated record.
UUUUCAAUAUGGCUGUCGAUUGUGAUACGAAUAUAAUAUACGAUGUGAUUAUGUCUGCGUUUAAAUUCUGUGCCCAACAGGUUAUGGGCCCAGUACUAAAAGUGUUUUGAGUUUAAAUUCUACAUAAUAAAGUAUACUACGUAAAAGAUGAGAUAAGUUUCAAAAUUAUUCAUACCUACUUUAAAAAGACAAUGGUACAGCGUGCGUUUAAUUAGAAGAUUUCGAUUCGGCGAAAAAAAAUAAGUACAAAUACACAUUUUAUUUGGUGUGUUGUUAUUGAAGAAAUUACAUACAUAAAAUGGCAACGUCAAUUAAAAUUGAGCCUCUUAAUGGUGAUAACUACGACACGUGGAAAGUGCACAUGCGCGCCAUUUUGAAGAAAAAUGAUUUAUGGGAAUAUGUUUGCGGGAUGGUCCCGCGCUCAGCGCAAUCUGAUGCCAAAUAUCUGGAGUGGUUGAAGUUGGAUGGAAAGGCCGAAUCGGACAUUUUGUUAGCCGUAAGACCAAGUGAGCUCAUUGCUUUAGAUGGUUUAGAAACAUCCAAAGCCAUAUGGGACAAACUUAAAUCGAUGUAUGAAUCGAGUGGGCCUGCUCGCAAAGCCUCAUUGUUAAAGAAAUUUGUCUUAACGCGCAUGCAAGAAGAAGACGACCUGCGCAAGCACAUUGCAGAUUUCUUUGACGCCGUCAAGAAGUUAAAAGAAAUUGGUUUAAACGUCAUUGACGAAUUACUUACUAUUUUGUUGCUUUAUAGUUUGCCAGAUUCCUUUUCUAUGUUUCGUACAGCUAUGGAAUCACGAGAUGAUUUAACAUCAACAGAUAUUUUAAAGGUAAAAAUUGUUGAAGACUAUGAAGGACGUAAAUCAAAACUUUAGAUCAAGGUGCAAUGUUGAUUAAGCCUCGUCAUGCAAAGAAGUAUACUCAUGAGAAUAAACGCCACAAUAAUAAGUUUCAGAUUGAAUGUUAUCGGUGUGGUGGUCGUGGACAUAUUGCGAGAGAGUGCAAAUCUAAAAACAUUAAUAAAAAUAUUCAUAAUAACAAGUUUAAGCAGAGCGCGCAACAUGUAGAACGAAACUCAGACAAGGCAACUAUUUUGAUGAGCACUACCGAAGAGGUGAUGUUAGGUAAUGGAAGAAACAUUACUUGGUAUAUCGACAGUGGAUGUACGGGCCAUAUGUGUAAUAAAAGAGACAUUAUAAAGGGAUUUUCAAGACUAGAUUCAGAACUUCAAUUAGCUAAUAAUGAGAGCAUUAAAAUAUCUGGUACAGGCAAGGUGAGUCUAUCUGUUGACACAGGCUGCGAAGAGCGCCAAGUGGAUAUUGAGAAGGUUUUAUAUGUGUCCGAGUUAAGAAACAAAUUUAUUGUCUGUGGCGAAGAUAACUGACCGUGGGUUUGAAGUUCGUUUCAGAAAGAAUGAUGCAGUAGUCAUAGAUAAAAUGAUCAGGUCCAUAUGCGUGCGGAUCGGAUAGGUAAUUUAUACCAUGUCAGACUAAGUGAAAACAGUGCAAAUAAUGCUGAGGCGGUUAAAAAGCCUAUAGAUAUGUGGCAUGAACGCCUGGGGCACUUAAAUGAACGUGACUUGAAAGCAAUGGCUAAGCACGGCUUAGUAAAUGGUUUGAAUUUAAUAGAUGGUCAAAAACUGUCAGAAUGUGAAGUUUGUAUAAAAGAGAAGCAAACAUGUUAGUCCUUUUCUACUAGUAACAUGAACCGUACAAGUGAACUAUUAGAGAUAGUACAUACAGAUCUAUGUGGACCGAUGAGAUGUCAGUCUUUCAGCGGUAAAAGAUAUUUGGAAAGCAGAUCAAAACUUUACAAUCCGAUAAUGGUCGAGAAUAUGUGAAUAAAGAUUUUGAUGAACACUUAAAAAGGGAAGGAAUCAGAAGAAGAUUAACAGCACCAUACACUCCACAGCAAAAUGGUGUUACUGAAAGGAAGAACAGAACACUUGUUGAGAUGGCGCGUUGUAUGAUGCGACAAGCUGGGAGUCCUCCUUAAUUUUGGGCUGAAGCCAUUCAAAUGGCGAAUUAUAUAAGGAAUAGAUGUCCUACUACUGCACUUAAUGGAAAUAUACUAUUCACAGUUUGGAAAGGGAAGAAACCCACUGUUAUUUAUAUGAAUAUAUUUGGAUCGAAUCAAAGAGAAAAGUUAUUAAUGAUGAGAAAAUAUUGGAGAUAGCUAGACGUUGGUAUGAUGCUUUGAAUGAAUGUGAGAAUGGUGUAUGUUUGUUCUAAAAAUCUUUGUAUGGAUUGCGUCAGUCGGGGUUGCAGUGGCAUAAGGAGUUAGUUCGAGAGCUUACUAGUAUUGGAUUUAAAGCAAUGCCUCAAGAUUCUUGUUUGUUUGUAGCACAAAAGGGUGAAUGUAUGAUGUUGAUUGCAAUUUAUGUAGAUGAUAUUAUUUUGGCGACGAAUGAUAAUGUGUGGAUGAAAGAAGUGAAGUUUCAGUUAUCAUGUGCAUUUGAGAUGAAAGAUAUGGGUAGAAUAAAUCAUUGUUUAGGUAUUGAGUUUACUCGUGAUGAGAAUAAUAGAGUGUAUCUUAAUCAGAGGUUUUAUGUAGAAAAAUUUUUAGAACGUUUUGGUAUGAGUGAAUGCAAACCUAUUAUGAAUCCUAUGGAUAUGAAUGUUAAGUUAGAAAAACCUGAAUGCAUGAAUGAUGAUAUUAUGUGUAAGUAUCCUUAUCAAAGUUUGAUUGGUGCUUUGAUGUAUUUAGCUGUGUCCAUGAGGCCAGAUAUCACAUAUACAGUUAAUUAUCUUAGCCAAUUUAACACUAAUUAUGAUAGUGAGCACUGGAAGGCUGCUAAGCGUGUUUUGAGGUAUUUGAAAGAGACACUUGAUUAUGGAUUAAUGUAUGAAAGAACAGGUUUACCAUUAUUUGGUGUGGUAGAUGCUGAUUGGGGUUCAAAUACAGUUGAUAACCGUAGGUCAUAUUCUGGAUUUGCCUUUAUUUUUGCAGGUGAUCCUAUCAGUUGGCAAGCAUCAAAACAAAAAACAAUUGCUUUAUCAAGUACGGAAGCGGAAUACAUGGCUCUCUCUGAGGCAACAAAGGAGGCCAUGUAUUUAUAAGACAUGUUUGGGAAUUUCUGUGUUGAGUGUGAGUGUAUUACAUUAUUUAAUGAUAACCAGGGUGCGAUUAAACUUGCACAAACCCGACAUUACCACCCUCCUACGAAACAUAUUGCUGUUAGACAUCAUUUUAUUAGAGAUGCUUGUGAGGAAGGUCUAGUGUGUUUAAAAUUCUUGUCCACAGAUCAAAUGCCUGCUGAUGUGUUGACCAAGGGCCUUAGUAGAAGAAAGCAUUUUGAAUGUAUCAAUAACCUUGGAGUUGUGGACAUUUUUAAGGAAGGUGCACUCGCGACUUCGAGGGGGGGUGUUCGUGUGUGAAACAAAGUUCGCGCGUCAUUUACAGAUUAAAUAUAUUUUUGUUAUCUGUGCUUGCGAAACGUAUAGCUCGCGCUUUACUUUUUUUUCUAGUAUUCACUUUUCAAUAUGGCUGUCGAUUGUGAUACGAAUAUAAUAUACGAUGUGAUUAUGUCUGCGUUUUAUUUCUCUGCCCAACACUUAAUAAUUAUUAUCAUAGAAAAAUGAUUUUAAUUUCCUUCAAUUAUUUUUUUAAAAUUUUACUAAUUUAUUAAAUUAAAAGAAAAUUUUAAUUCUUAUUAAUAUUUUUAUUGAGUACGCAGUACAUGUAUUUUAGUUUCCACAUCUCUUUCGGGUAUAUUUAGGUCUUGAGAAAUUUCUUCGAAUGCAUCGUUCUUUUUGUUUCUAUCUUUGUAUUCUUUUAUAUAAGAAUCCCAUUAAUGGUUUUGAUUGAAAUAAUUCUAUUAGUUGCAUUAUUUUAUCAUUGCUCCACACUACUGCCAUGUUUAUAAACUGUUGCAAUCACGUUCUCAUACGUCAACAAUUGUCGCUCAACUGAUGUUUACGCUUGUCAGGCGAGAGCUUGUCAACAUGACGCUAUCAACUCUGCAACACGCAGUGUUGCCAGCAAUUCCGCAACACAUUUGUUUAAAUACUUGUGUCCUAUCAUAACUUACUCAAGUCUUAUUUUGGGCUUGUUGUUGCGAUCUCGGAAACAGAAUCCAUUUAUUUAAAAUGGCCGAAUGGCUCAAUGCUUCAACAACUUGACGUAUACACCUACUAGUUGUUCUUUGUAUCAAAUGCUGCGUUAGUCCAACAAUGCGUUGAUAUGAACCCGCAGCCAAAAAACUAAGAGUACACAAAACCUGAAACAUGAUUUCAUUGAGAAAUUACACUGUGUAACUUUAUAUUUUAAGUAAGGUUAGAAGUAGGUAAAAAAACUUACCUUGGUUUCUAAACUAAUUUCCCGUGUACCUUUCAAUGAGGUUACACACCGAAGAUCAUCACAAAGACGCCAAAAACUUUGUUUAUCUAACCUAAAACGAUGAAUAAAUUCCAAUGCCUCCAUCUCCACAAUUUGCACCAUUUUACGUCGAUUUAUUCUUGUUUGACGUCUUUGCAAUGUUGCUUCAAUAUAAGCAGCCCAUAAUAAUCCUUAACUACGCAUUUUCACUAUUUAAUUUGAAUUAAAAACACACUAAAAUAUCCUGUUUAAACGGAAAAUAUCAUUGGCGUUUGUCAAAAGUGGCACAUGUCAUUUUGAUGAAGAUUUUUGUCGUUUGCGUGUCACGCUCACUUCGACGUUCCUAUCCGCAAGAGGGAUAUUGACUUUGUUUACCAUUUAAGCAGCAAUCACGUGACAUCUGGUUAGCAAAUGUCAACUCCAUACAAUCAGAUUUUUCCGUCGGCGUUAACGCUUACAGAAAAUGGUUAUUGUCUAGGCCCGCUGUUUCUUCGGUUCCCCCACGUAGUUUACAAAGCCAGUAACUUUAUCCUUUUUCCUGUUGUAAUUAAAAUUUGGAGUGAGAGCCAUUUCAUCAAAAAUAAGGGUCCAUCAUUUUUCACUAGCCUUCUAUUUUGCACUUUUUUUUUGUAAUUGUUCAAAUAUUUUUUUUCAUUAAUGCCCGGUAUCAAAGCAGCUCUUGAAAUCUGACAGGGUACAAACUGUGUGCUGUCUUUACCAGUCCAAUGAAAUUUAAUUCAACUGUGAAUAACUCCACAGCUGUUUUGACCGAAGCAAACCAUGAGUCUCCAAAUACAACUCUUCCAGAACCAUGACAAUCUCAAUGUAGUUGCUUGUUUCAGCGCCAAAUUCUCAUUGCUUCUUUACCCUCAUUAAUUUCCAAUCUGAUUCAUAAUCUUUGAAUUACUAUCACAAGCUGUUUUUACUUCACAACCCACUCCUAUUGAUUUUCUUUUAAUUUUUAUAACUGCUGGCAACCCAUCUUUGAAAUACGCACCUCUUCCAUACUAGGCGAACAAGGAUUCAUCUACAGUUAUUUUUGAACCAGGACGGAUGGUAUCUGUUAGUUUAUCAUUCACCAUCAUUGCUAGUGUUCUCGUACGCCAUUUGUCAGAAUCAUUGAUGGUUGUGUGAAGCGCAGUGCCAUUAGAAUGAUCUCAAAUCUUUGGCGACUCAUUCCAAAUCUUUGUCCAAAAUUUGCAGGAGGAAAUAUUCCAAAUCAAAUGAAAUAAUUUAUUGCAUACUAAUACAAAUACAGGGUCAACUGUCAAUUUUAGACAGAUCAAUAUGUUAUUUUAUAGUUUGGACCACAAAGGAAACCAUCAUUUUGCCAGUAGAAAAAGACCCAAAUUGGGAACUAAUUAAUUUACAAAACUUACUGAAAUUGUAUCAAGAACAAUUUAUUGAUCGCAUGAUGUCCUAAGUUUGGCCUAUUUUUGCCUGAUGUCUACAUGAUUACCACACAUUAAAUGAUAUGCAUGGUUUGUUUUAAAUUUUCUGUGGAAAUCAAAAAACAUUUUUGUAUUGUUUUGGAUUUCCAUCCGUAUGUAAACCUAUGUUAAACAACUAUGUUUCUAUGUAACUUGUGUGAUUAUGUGCUAAGUGUUUGUAAAUAUAAAAAAAAACAACUGUCCUAAUUUUUAACCUGUAUUUAAUAGCAUAAUAAGAUUAAAUAAUUAAGAUGCA